AGUGAACGCUGGCGGUAGGCCUAACACAUGCGAGUCGAACGGCAGCACAGUAAGAGCUUGCUCUUACGGGUGGCGAGUGGCGGACGAGUGAGGAAUACAUCGGAAUCUACUUUUUCGUGGGGGAUAACGUAGGGAAACUUACGCUAAUACCGCAUACGACCUACGGGUGAAAGCAGGGGAUCUUCGGACCUUGCGCGAUUGAAUGAGCCGAUGUCGGAUUAGCUAGUUGGCGGGGUAAAGGCCCACCAAGGCGACGAUCCGUAGCUGGUCUGAGAGGAUGAUCAGCCACACUGGAACUGAGACACGGUCCAGACUCCUAUGGGAGGCAGCAGUGGGGAAUAUUGGACAAUGGGCGCAAGCCUGAUCCAGCCAUACCGCGUGGGUGAAGAAGGCCUUCGGGUUGUAAAGCCCUUUUGUUGGGAAAGAAAAGCAGCAGGUUAAUACCCCGCUGUUCUGACGGUACCCAAAGAAUAAGCACCGGCUAACUUCGUG
This 492-nucleotide ribosomal RNA is filed under the name uncultured bacterium. Its description in RNAcentral is "partial 16S ribosomal RNA". It matches the Rfam family "Bacterial small subunit ribosomal RNA", at positions 29 to 507 of the family's 1533-position model. The record is from RNAcentral.